GUGUGCAUGACCAACUGCCCAACUCUCAUUGUCAUGGUGGGCCUGCCCGCCAGGGGCAAGACCUACAUCUCCAAGAAGCUGACUCGAUACCUGAACUGGAUUGGUGUGCCCACUCGGGAGUUCAAUGUUGGCCAGUAUCGCCGGGACGUGGUCAAGACCUACAAAUCUUUUGAAUUUUUUCUCCCCGACAAUGAAGAGGGCCUGAAAAUCAGGAAAUGAGGAAACUGAGGCUCAGACAGGCCAGGAGUCUCGCACAAAAUAGCAAGUUUACAUCAGCGCCCAGACUUGAAUCUAAGCCCAUCCACCGCUAAAAAGUGUCCAUCAUUCCAAUAUUCCUCAAUAGGUUCAAGCAAUUCUUCUGCCUCAGCCAACAACCCCAAGCUGUGGACGCUGAUAGCCUACUGUCUGAUCUUCCCAGCAGCUUCUGUGGUGGGCGGUGCCUCACUUUUCCAGAUGCUGGGACCAAGGCCAGAAAGUGAUGGGGGUGCCUUGGGUCACUCAGGGUUUGAAUUUGAAGUCCGUCCUGCCUGAAUCCAUAGUGUUUGUGGGGAGAGUCUGCCAGCUGUUCCACUCUGGCUGUCCCCCUAAGGUAGGGAUAUUUGGGAUUAAUUCAAAUGAAGAGACCUAGACUCAGAGAGGUUGGGAAGCUAGUCCAAGGUCACCCUGCAACAGAAGCUGGGGACAGGCUCAUUGCUGCCUUUCUGCAGGCAUACCCUCUGGCUGCCCUAGAAACCCUCUCUGCUGUAUCCGAAUCCUGGCUCUGGCUGGGCCACAGGGCCAUCUCCUAUUAAUCAGCCCAAAAUUUCCCAAUUAGCAAAAUAAAAGGACCAGAGUUUUUAAAAUGGAAAA
Molecule: long non-coding RNA, 849 nt
Filed under: Homo sapiens (human)
Lineage: Eukaryota; Metazoa; Chordata; Mammalia; Primates; Hominidae
Description: non-protein coding lnc-PFKFB4-4:2
Source: RNAcentral